AACGAGCUGCCAGGUCGAGGUGUGAAGCAGGUCCUGCCUCUCCCUGCUUUGAGAGCAGCUGGGCUCUUUCUGUGAAAUUUUAACCUGACAUUUCAAUCUAAGUAAAUCACACCAGGAAAAAAGAAUGCACUAAUUGGAGAGCAGUGUGCUGUUUAUAAACUGAAGGACCCAGCACACUCUUACCAGCAUGCCGAAUAUCUGGAGCUGGAGGAAUUAAUUCUAAUGCAAAUGAGGGUAGGGUUUCCCUGCAAGAGAAGUCCUUGCUGAAUCUGCUGAGACUGAUAACCUGGUUGCUAUAUGUCCAGCUAGGAAUGUGGCAGAGAUAAGCAAAAUUAAAAAAAAAAAUUAAAAAAACCCCAAACCUGUUAGCUGCCUAGCUGUUCUUCUCAAUGCAUUUGGACUCUAAUUACCAGGAUGUGAAUGCUCUGCAGUUCAGCCAGCACAGUCAUCUUUAGAAGUAUGCCAAUGUUGCCUGCAUUUCACUUCAGAUAUCAGAAUGAGCAUGAAGAAUUCUUUUUCAGGAGAAGAAACCACAAGCAAAACUACUUGUCCCAGGUAGAUAGAUCCACUACCUCCAGCAUGCAUGGUCCAGGAUCAGGAGAGGAUCUGCCCAGCAAGUUUUCCAGUACAGAGUCCACACUGGUUUCAUAUGUGAUGAGGAGACAAGCAAACAGUGGAGAACAGCAGUAGAUACGACGCCGAUAAGCAAGAAAGAAAAAUUAAGGACAAAAAGACGGAGCUGUUUCUAAAAAAUCAGGUAAGGGAUUCAGGUGAUUCUCUAUAAAGUGUAACAUGUACAGUACAAAGAAUUGUGCCAAAUAGUUUAUCCUCCCUUCCUAGUAUUU
RNAcentral lists this long non-coding RNA (845 nucleotides) under Cyanistes caeruleus (blue tit). RNAcentral's name for it is "lncRNA (ENSCCEG00000024165.1)". The record is from RNAcentral. Lineage: Eukaryota; Metazoa; Chordata; Aves; Passeriformes; Paridae.